UACCAAUUGUUGCCUCGGCGGAUCAGCCCGCUCCCGGUAAAACGGGACGGCCCGCCAGAGGACCCCCAAACUCUGUUUCUAUAUGUAACUUCUGAGUAAAACCAUAAAUAAAUCAAAACUUUCAACAACGGAUCUCUUGGUUCUGGCAUCGAUGAAGAACGCAGCAAAAUGCGAUAAGUAAUGUGAAUUGCAGAAUUCAGUGAAUCAUCGAAUCUUUGAACGCACAUUGCGCCCGCCAGUAUUCUGGCGGGCAUGCCUGUUCGAGCGUCAUUUCAACCCUCAAGCCCAGCUUGGUGUUGGGACUCGCGAGUCAAAUCGCGUUCCCCAAAUUGAUUGGCGGUCACGUCGAGCUUCCAUAGCGUAGUAGUAAAACCCUCGUUACUGGUAAUCGUCGCGGCCACGCCGUUAAACCCCAACUUCUGAAUGUUGACCUCGGAUCAGGUAGGAAUACCCGCUGAACUUAAG
Molecule: ribosomal RNA, 465 nt
Filed under: Fusarium verticillioides
Lineage: Eukaryota; Fungi; Ascomycota; Sordariomycetes; Hypocreales; Nectriaceae
Description: eukaryotic LSU rRNA
Rfam family: 5.8S ribosomal RNA (bases 117-270)
Source: RNAcentral